This 420-nucleotide ribosomal RNA is filed under the name uncultured microorganism. RNAcentral's name for it is "bacterial SSU rRNA". It matches the Rfam family "Bacterial small subunit ribosomal RNA", at positions 9 to 426 of the family's 1533-position model. The record is from RNAcentral.
GAGUUUGAUCCUGGCUCAGAUUGAACGCUGGCGGCAUGCCUUACACAUGCAAGUCGAACGGCAGCAUGAUCUAGCUUGCUAGAUUGAUGGCGAGUGGCGAACGGGUGAGUAAUACAUCGGAACGUGCCCUGUAGUGGGGAUAACUAGUCGAAAGAUUAGCUAAUACCGCAUACGACCUGAGGGUGAAAGUGGGGGACCGCAAGGCCUCAUGCUAUAGGAGCGGCCGAUGUCUGAUUAGCUAGUUGGUGGGGUAAAGGCCCACCAAGGCGACGAUCAGUAGCUGGUCUGAGAGGACGAUCAGCCACACUGGGACUGAGACACGGCCCAGACUCCUACGGGAGGCAGCAGUGGGGAAUUUUGGACAAUGGGCGAAAGCCUGAUCCAGCAAUGCCGCGUGUGUGAAGAAGGCCUUCGGGUUGU